Molecule: ribosomal RNA, 615 nt
Filed under: uncultured yeast
Lineage: Eukaryota; Fungi
Description: eukaryotic LSU rRNA
Rfam family: Eukaryotic large subunit ribosomal RNA
Source: RNAcentral
GCAUAUCAAUAAGCGGAGGAAAAGAAACCAACCGGGAUUGCCUUAGUAACGGCGAGUGAAGCGGCAAAAGCUCAAAUUUGAAAUCUGGUACCUUCGGUGCCCGAGUUGUAAUUUGGAGAGGGCAACUUUGGGGCCGUUCCUUGUCUAUGUUCCUUGGAACAGGACGUCAUAGAGGGUGAGAAUCCCGUGUGGCGAGGAGUGCGGUUCUUUGUAAAGUGCCUUCGAAGAGUCGAGUUGUUUGGGAAUGCAGCUCUAAGUGGGUGGUAAAUUCCAUCUAAAGCUAAAUAUUGGCGAGAGACCGAUAGCGAACAAGUACAGUGAUGGAAAGAUGAAAAGAACUUUGAAAAGAGAGUGAAAAAGUACGUGAAAUUGUUGAAAGGGAAGGGCAUUUGAUCAGACAUGGUGCUUUGUGCCCUCUGCUCCUUGUGGGUAGGGGAAUCUCGCAUUUCACUGGGCCAGCAUCAGUUUUGGUGGCAGGAUAAAUCCAUAGGAAUGUAGCUUGCCUCGGUAAGUAUUAUAGCCUGUGGGAAUACUGCCAGCUGGGACUGAGGACUGCGACGUAAGUCAAGGAUGCUGGCAUAAUGGUUAUAUGCCGCCCGUCUUGAAACACGGACC